GGUACAGCCGCGCGCGGAGAAGCCGCUCCCGCCGUCCCGGAGGUCUGAGCGAGCGCAGUAGCCCCAAAAGAUGUUGCUGGACUGACUUCUGUUCCUGCUGGACAAGGCACUGAGAGGAUGCCAGAGAGAGGGAGACUCGUUCGCUGUGCUGUUCAGUUCAAAAGGACAUACGUCUUGGUAUUCUUCAGCAACGAUUGGAGAAGGGGGAAAAAAGUGGAUUCAAGUGAGUUUGAAAAUGUUGAUUAAAAAUUAAACCACACUAAAC
This is a long non-coding RNA of Pygocentrus nattereri (red-bellied piranha), 265 nucleotides long. The record is from Ensembl. NCBI's taxonomy places the organism in Eukaryota, Metazoa, Chordata, Actinopteri, Characiformes, Serrasalmidae.